This 659-nucleotide ribosomal RNA is filed under the name uncultured bacterium. RNAcentral describes it as "bacterial SSU rRNA". It matches the Rfam family "Bacterial small subunit ribosomal RNA", at positions 94 to 788 of the family's 1533-position model. The record is from RNAcentral.
AGUGGCGGACGGGUGAGUAACGCGUGAGAAUCUGCCUUGGGGUCGGGGACAACCACUGGAAACGGUGGCUAAUACCGGAUAAGCCGAUUGGUGAAAGAUUUAUUGCCCGAAGAGGAGCUCGCGUCUGAUUAGCUAAUUGGUGAGGUAAGAGCUCACCAAGGCAGCGAUCAGUAGCUGGUCUGAGAGGACGAUCAGCCACACUGGGACUGAGACACGGCCCAGACUCCUACGGGAGGCAGCAGUGGGGAAUUUUCCGCAAUGGGCGAAAGCCUGACGGAGCAAGACCGCGUGAGGGAGGAAGGCUCUUGGGUUGUAAACCUCUUUUCUCAGGGAAGAAGCUCUGACGGUACCUGAGGAAUCAGCCUCGGCUAACUCCGUGCCAGCAGCCGCGGUAAUACGGAGGAGGCAAGCGUUAUCCGGAAUUAUUGGGCGUAAAGCGUCCGCAGGUGGCGAUUCAAGUUGCUGUCAAAGCACGGGGCUUAACUCCGUAAAGGCAGUGGAAACUGAAUAGCUAGAGUGCCGUAGGGGUAGAGGGAAUUCCCGGUGUAGCGGUGAAAUGCGUAGAGAUCAGGAAGAACAUCGGUGGCGAAAGCGCUCUACUGGACGGCAACUGACACUCAGGGACGAAAGCUAGGGGAGCGAAUGGGAUUAGAUAUCCC